GCCUGGGUGGCUCAGUCAGUUAAGCAUCUGACUUUGGCUCAGGUCAUGAUCUUUGUGAGUUUGAGCCCCGCCUCAGGCU
This 79-nucleotide transfer RNA is filed under the name Felis catus (domestic cat). It matches the Rfam family "tRNA". From Rfam's summary of the family: Transfer RNA (tRNA) molecules are approximately 80 nucleotides in length. Their secondary structure includes four short double-helical elements and three loops (D, anti-codon, and T loops). The record is from Rfam by way of RNAcentral. Lineage: Eukaryota; Metazoa; Chordata; Mammalia; Carnivora; Felidae.